UUUUGACUGAGCAGGAUAUUCUGAGACUUAAGCGUCUGCUCGCGGCUUCAGGUUCUUCCUCGACGGGUACUGCUGGUUCUGUGACUGAUGCUUCCCGCACUGAGCACCCGCCCUCUACACAGUCAGGAUCGUCGCACGCACACUCUGGUUGGGGCUGGCCCUCGCCGCCGUGAUUCUCAGGGUCUUUGGGAGUUGGACUGGCUUCAUGUUCCUUCCGCUGCCACCACCAUCGCCAGUUCCUCCGCUGCUGUCGCUUCUGUUACUGGUUCCUUCAAGCAGUGGCAUCAUCGCCUUGGUCAUAUGUGUGGUUCUCGAUUAUCGUCUUUAGUUCGUCGAGGUCUUCUGGGGUCUGUCUCAGGAGAUGUCUCUUUAGAGUGUCAGGGUUGUCGUCUUGGCAAGCAGAUUCAGCUACCAUAUUCUCAUAGUGAGUCAGUGUCUCAGCGUCCUUUCGAUUUAGUCCAUUCUGAUGUAUGGGGUCCAGCUCCUUUCACUUCGAAAGGUGGUCAUAAAUACUAUAUUAUUUUCAUCGAUGAUUUUUCUCGUUA
Non-coding RNA from Aegilops tauschii subsp. strangulata, 545 nucleotides. The record is from RefSeq and is a predicted model, not a curated record. Lineage: Eukaryota; Viridiplantae; Streptophyta; Magnoliopsida; Poales; Poaceae.